UGGGGAAUCUUGGUCAAUGGGCGCAAGCCUGAACCAGCGACGCCGCGUGAGUGAUGAAGGCCCUCGGGUUGUAAAGCUCUGUGGGGCGAGACGAAAGAGCACGUUCGAAUAGGACGUGUGUUGACGGUAUCGCCUUAGCAAGCACCGGCUAACUCUGUGCCAGCAGCCGCGGUAAGACAGAGGGUGCAAACGUUGCUCGGAAUCACUGGGCGUAAAGGGCGUGUAGGCGGGAAGGUAAGUCAGAUGUGAAAUCCCCAGGCUCAACCUGGGAACUGCAUUUGAAACUGCCUUUCUUGAGUGUCGGAGAGGAAAGUGGAAUUCCUGGUGUAGAGGUGAAAUUCGUAGAUAUCAGGAGGAACACCGGUGGCGAAGGCGGCUUUCUGGACGACGACUGACGCUGAGACGCGAAAGCGUGGGGAGCAAACAGGAUUAGAUACCCCCGUAGUCC
This 448-nucleotide ribosomal RNA is filed under the name uncultured prokaryote. Its description in RNAcentral is "bacterial SSU rRNA". It matches the Rfam family "Bacterial small subunit ribosomal RNA", at positions 355 to 796 of the family's 1533-position model. The record is from RNAcentral.